AUACGGAGGAUGCGAGCGUUAUCCGGAUUUAUUGGGUUUAAAGGGAGCGUAGGUGGGAUAUUAAGUCAGCUGUGAAAGUUUGGGGCUCAACCUUAAAAUUGCAGUUGAUACUGGUUUCCUUGAGUACAGUAGAGGCAGGCGGAAUUCGUGGGGGAGUGGGUGAAUGCUUAGAUAUCACGAAGAACUCCGAUUGCGAAGGCAGCCUGCUGGACUGUAACUGACGCUGAUGCUCGAAAGUGUGGGUAUCAAACAGGAUUAGAUACCCUGGUAGUCCGCACAGUAAACGAUGAAUACUUGUUUUCGGCGAUAUAAUGUCGGAGGCAAAGCGAAAGCGAUAAGUAUUCCACCUGGGGAGUACGCCGGCAACGGUGAAACUCAAAUGAAUUGGCGGGG
This 393-nucleotide ribosomal RNA is filed under the name uncultured bacterium. Its description in RNAcentral is "partial 16S ribosomal RNA". It matches the Rfam family "Bacterial small subunit ribosomal RNA", at positions 523 to 918 of the family's 1533-position model. The record is from RNAcentral.